UGCAAACAAUUUAUUGAUUGGUGUAAGAAAAGCUCUUUGUACAAAGCCCCAUAAAGCACUAUUAUAUAUUUGCAUUACUUAUAGUUGUUUUCAUUCAUUCCAUUCAUCCAUUUAUUAAAUAUAAAUUAGGUGAUUAAUGCAAUUUUAAAAAUGCAAUUAAGGCAUAGUUAUUAUUCUCAUAGAGUUUACAACCAUGUGGGGGAGAUGUGAAACAUACAAAUUGAUAAUAUGAUGAAUAUCCAGAACUAUAAAUAUAUAAAAACAUUAAGACUUACUAAAUUAGGUGAUUUAAUUAAAUAAAAAUGCAAUUAAGGCAUAAUAUUAUUCUCAUAGAGCUUUACAAUCACGUAGGGGAGAUGUAAAAUAUACAAACUGACAAUAUGAUGAAUAUCCAGAACUAUCAUGUAAAAUAGAAUAUAUAAAAACAUUAGGACAAGUACAAAGGGCUAUUCAAAAACCAAAGAACUAUAAUUUUAAUGGAGUUUUAGGUAAGCCCUCUUGAAGAGUUACUAUCUCUUUCAGGUGGUAAAAGGGAAAAGAAUUGUUUCCCAGAACACUUCAGGGAAAGGGAAUGAUAAGAAUAAAGAACUCAACACACUCCCAGUAGAGUGCAUGUCCUCCUCUAGCUGAGCUUUGUAGUUAGGAUACCAGUAAGCUUUUAUUUGAAUUUGUCUUCCCAAACACUGCAACUCUCAUGGCCUAUUAUUACUUUCUACACACUUGCUAAUAAUUAAGUUAUAUUUGGUCCUGAAAAAGGCACUAGACACUUUUGGGUCAAAUGCACUCAUCCUAACAGGUACCCUGAAGUUGAGCCUUUUCUCUAAUUAAUAUAAAGAAAUUAUAGUUAGAUGCUUAUCCAGAAGAGAAAAAUUCAGUAGGUAGUCUCAAACCAUAAUUUCUGUCUGUUCUGGCAGAGAGAAAAAGCAGAUGCUAAUGGAAAAUUUUAUGAAGCAACUAUUUUGGUGGUGGGGUGGUGCUAACCAUGAAAUAUCACAAUAUUGCAUAGGCUGAGAACAGUUAAGUAAGAAAGUCAGACAUCCUGAUAUAGAAAUAAAACCACUCUUUCCUUUUGUUAAUAGCUAGAUAGAAAAGGGUAAGAGCACAGGGCACUGGCUAGGAACCAGAACAAGAAUAGAGGUUCCAGCCUGCCAUAAGGUAUCAUAAGACCACUAAUUUCUCUGGGAGCAAAAGCCAUCAGGAGUUAGGGAAAUCCUGCUGAAAAGUAGAAGGGUGCCAGAUCAGUUUCAGAGUUUUACCUUGGUAUAACAUUUUGGCUAUCAGGAAAACAGAAAACAAUUACUUCCUUUGUUUCAUCCAUAGCUAAAAUGCCAUAUAUAAGAGAACCCCUAAUUCCUUAGUUGAAUUAAGUUAAAAGGUUAAGUCCUGACUACUUGCUUAUCCAACCCCCUAUAAUCUGACUAACUGUUACAUCACUCUUGGGAAAUUAUUCUCUGAAAUUGCCAAUGACCUCUUAAUUGCCAAACCAAUGGAACUUUCUUGUUCUCAUCCUUUCUUGCCUUUGUGAAAAAUCUGACCCCUUUGACACUUGUUUUACACUUUGGUUACUGGGUCUCCAUCCUCUUCCUGUCACCUAAAAGGAAAAACUCUUCCUUCCCCACUCUCAGCCCCUGUAUCUCCAUUAUCUACUCCCAGAACUAUAAACCUCUAUGUCAGUGAUUCACAGAUCUAUCUUUUGUUCCGACUUCUCCUAAGCUCCAGGUCUACAUUUCUAUCUAUAUCUGCUACUGCAUAGCUGCAACUAGACAUCAUAGACCAAGUCAAACUCAACAACUCAUCCCUUUUUCCCCAUAAAAUUCACCAUUCUAUCUUUGUAAUUUCUAUUUAACAAUACCAUUAUUUUUCAACUUUCCCAAGGCCAGGAUAU
Molecule: long non-coding RNA, 1885 nt
Filed under: Sarcophilus harrisii (Tasmanian devil)
Lineage: Eukaryota; Metazoa; Chordata; Mammalia; Dasyuromorphia; Dasyuridae
Description: lncRNA (ENSSHAG00000025754.1)
Source: RNAcentral